RNAcentral lists this ribosomal RNA (301 nucleotides) under uncultured bacterium. RNAcentral's name for it is "partial 16S ribosomal RNA". It matches the Rfam family "Bacterial small subunit ribosomal RNA", at positions 509 to 807 of the family's 1533-position model. The record is from RNAcentral.
CAGUCGCCGCGGUAAUACGUAGGUGGCAAGCGUUGUCCGGAAUUAUUGGGCGUAAAGGGCUCGCAGGCGGUUUCUUAAGUCUGAUGUGAAAGCCCCCGGCUCAACCGGGGAGGGUCAUUGGAAACUGGGAAACUUGAGUGCAGAAGAGGAGAGUGGAAUCCCACGUGUAGCGGUGAAAUGCGUAGAGAUGUGGAGGAACACCAGUGGCGAAGGCGACUCUCUGGUCUGUAACUGACGCUGAGGAGCGAAAGCGUGGGGAGCGAACAGGAUUAGAUACCCCGGUAGUCCCUGUCUCUUAUAC